GACCGCGUAGCUCAGUUGGAAGAGCAUUGGGCUAGUAUUCCAAAGGUCGUAGGUUCGAAUCCUACCAUGGCCG
Paramuricea clavata is the source of this 73-nucleotide non-coding RNA. The record is from the annotation of a GenBank genome assembly. Lineage: Eukaryota; Metazoa; Cnidaria; Anthozoa; Malacalcyonacea; Plexauridae.